GACGAACGCUGGCGGCGUGCUUAACACAUGCAAGUCGAGCGGUAAGGCCCUUUCGGGGGUACACGAGCGGCGAACGGGUGAGUAACACGUGGGUGACCUGCCCUCAGCUCUGGGAUAAGCCCGGGAAACUGGGUCUAAUACCGGAUAUGACUCCAUGACGCAUGUUGUGGGGUGGAAAGCCUUGUGCGGCUGAGGAUGGGCCCGCGGCCUAUCAGCUUGUUGGUGGGGUGAUGGCCUACCAAGGCGACGACGGGUAGCCGGCCUGGGAGGGCGACCGGCCACACUGGGACUGAGACACGGCCCAGACUCCUACGGGAGGCAGCAGUGGGGAAUCUUGCGCAAUGGGCGAAAGCCUGACGCAGCGACGCCGCGUGAGGGAUGACGGCCUGGUU
Molecule: ribosomal RNA, 392 nt
Filed under: uncultured bacterium
Lineage: Bacteria
Description: bacterial SSU rRNA
Rfam family: Bacterial small subunit ribosomal RNA
Source: RNAcentral